GACGAACGCUGGCGGCGCGCCUAACACAUGCAAGUCGAACGAGCGAGAGAGAGCUUGCUUUCUCAAGCGAGUGGCGAACGGGUGAGUAACGCGUGAGGAACCUGCCUCAAAGAGGGGGACAACAGUUGGAAACGACUGCUAAUACCGCAUAAGCCCACGGCUCGGCAUCGAGCAGAGGGAAAAGGAGUGAUCCGCUUUGAGAUGGCCUCGCGUCCGAUUAGCUAGUUGGUGGGGUAACGGCUCACCAAGGCGACGAUCAGUAGCCGGUCUGAGAGGAUGAACGGCCACAUUGGGACUGAGACACGGCCCAA
This 311-nucleotide ribosomal RNA is filed under the name uncultured bacterium. Its description in RNAcentral is "bacterial SSU rRNA". It matches the Rfam family "Bacterial small subunit ribosomal RNA", at positions 28 to 334 of the family's 1533-position model. The record is from RNAcentral.